This is a non-coding RNA of Gossypium hirsutum (cotton), 128 nucleotides long. NCBI's taxonomy places the organism in Eukaryota, Viridiplantae, Streptophyta, Magnoliopsida, Malvales, Malvaceae. The record is from Rfam.
UAUUAAAAAUUUCAUCUAUUUGUACUAUUACAAACUAUUUGGAUAAUGACAUGUCAUAUGCUAUGUGUACCUCGUAUUGAUGUACGAGAACCAAUUUUUAACAAUAGAAAUUGAUGAAAUUUUUAAUA